UACGGAGGAUGCAAGCGUUAUCCGGAAUCAUUGGGCGUAAAGCGUCCGUAGGUGGCAGUGCCAGUCGGUUGUCAAAGGGCAGGGCUUAACCCUGUCAAGGCAGCGGAAACUGCACAGCUAGAGAGAGGUAGGGGUAGAGGGAAUUCCCGGUGUAGCGGUGAAAUGCGUAGAGAUCGGGAAGAACACCGGUGGCGAAAGCGCUCUACUGGACCUCAUCUGACACUGAGGGACGAAAGCUAGGGGAG
Molecule: ribosomal RNA, 245 nt
Filed under: uncultured bacterium
Lineage: Bacteria
Description: partial 16S ribosomal RNA
Rfam family: Bacterial small subunit ribosomal RNA
Source: RNAcentral